UGAGGAUAUAGUUCAGUGGUAGAACACUUGCCGAGAAUGUAUGAGGUCUUGGGUUCGAUAUUCAGGACUUCAA
Molecule: transfer RNA, 73 nt
Filed under: Marmota monax (woodchuck)
Lineage: Eukaryota; Metazoa; Chordata; Mammalia; Rodentia; Sciuridae
Description: tRNA.Ser
Source: RNAcentral